Molecule: ribosomal RNA, 207 nt
Filed under: uncultured Eubacteriales bacterium
Lineage: Bacteria; Bacillati; Bacillota; Clostridia; Eubacteriales
Description: uncultured Clostridiales bacterium partial 16S ribosomal RNA
Rfam family: Bacterial small subunit ribosomal RNA
Source: RNAcentral
AGCGUAGGCGGAUUUUUAAGUGAGAUGUGAAAUACCCGGGCUUAACUUGGGUGCUGCAUUUCAAACUGGAAGUCUAGAGUGCAGGAGAGGAGAAGGGAAUUCCUAGUGUAGCGGUGAAAUGCGUAGAGAUUAGGAAGAACACCAGUGGCGAAGGCGCUUCUCUGGACUGUAACUGACGCUGAGGCUCGAAAGCGUGGGGAGCAAACA